Molecule: ribosomal RNA, 1274 nt
Filed under: Plakortis simplex
Lineage: Eukaryota; Metazoa; Porifera; Homoscleromorpha; Homosclerophorida; Plakinidae
Description: small subunit ribosomal RNA
Rfam family: Bacterial small subunit ribosomal RNA
Source: RNAcentral
AAGACUUUGAUUUUGGGUCAGAUAGAAGGCGAGCGGCACUUAUAAUACAUGCUAGUCGAGUGGGUAAGAACCACGGCGAACAGGUGAGUAAAGUUUGGGGGAAAUCUAUUGGGUCCGUAAAACGGGGAAAANUUUAUUGUCAAUUGAUGAGCCGGAAUUGUAUUAGGUAAAAGGUAGGGGUAUAGCUUGCCUUGCCGAGGAUGCAUAGCCGAAAGGCCACACUUCCAUUGAAACAAGGGGGAGACUUAAAAAAGGCAGCAGUAGAGAAUAUUGUGCUAUGAACGAAAGUUUGACACAGAGAUGUCGCUUAAACAGAGAUGUUGCAGACUGUCCAAUAUACGUGCCAGCAGACGCGGUUAUACGUAAGGUCUGAGUCUUUAUCAUAAACAGGCGUAAAGGGUGUGUAGGUACUAAAUUGAGUUUUGUCAGGUAAAUAGAACUUUUAUGUAGCGGUAAAAUGCUUUUAGAUAAAAUGGAAUACCAGAGGCGAAGGCGAUUUACUGAAAAAAUUGUCGCUGAAACACGAAAGUGUAGGGAGCAAACAGGAUUAGAUACCCUGGUAGUCUAUACUGUAAACUAUGAAUGUGAGAUGGUGUUCUGUCUGAAGGAACUUGAGACAUUCCGCCUGAAUAGUACGAUCGCAAGAUUAAAAUUCAAAAAAUUUGGCGGUUCACUAUUCCAAUUAGAGGAGCGUGUUAUUUAAUUCGAUAUGACGCGAUUAACCUUACCAAAAUUUGCAUAUAAAAAANUUAUGGGGUAACCCAGUGUNAAAAAUGUCUAUUGUCACAGGUAUUGCAUGGCCGUCGUCAGCUUGUGUUGUGAAAUCAAUAAAACGAGCGCAACCCUUGUUUCAAUUUUUUGAUUUCCGCGAAUUAGUUCGCGGGGCAUUAUUUUAAAUGAGGAUGACGUCAGGUCCCUAUGGUCCUAAUGUUUGGGGCUAUUUAUGCGCUACAAUCUUAUAUACAAGGGGAAAAAAUUAAUCUUUAAAGUAUAAGUUCGGAGGAUGGUCUGAAAUGGUUGUCUGAAGUUGGAUUUAAUAGUAAUCAAAGAGUAGAGCGCUUUGGUGAAUUUGGCUCUAGUGUUGGUACAAAUCGCCCGUCACCUCGUCCCAGUUGAGUCUUCUUUAAGUAUAAAAGAAGGGGUUUUNAAAAAAAUAGGGGGUUUCUUUAUAAUAAAAAUUUUAUCUUUAAAAGUCGUCUUUAUAUCAGGGGGAUUUUUCAAGGCUGAGUAAGUCGUAACAUAGUUGCGGUACUGGAAAGUGUCGCAGGAUUAAG